CUUUGCACCCAGAGGUUACAGUAAGUCUGGAUGACACAAAGAACAGUUUGUGGUGCCUCUAGAGUUCCUUAUGGAAGACUUCUAUUUCAGAGAUCUGAAAAAAGCCUUGGUCUGAGGGGAAGAAGGAACCGCAAAUGCUGCCCAGCUAUAGCCAUGUAACAAUCUGACAUCCCUGGACAUUCUUCUGCUGGGUUGCUGUGCGUGUUCCUGGACAUAAUUGUGGAAACAAAAUCAGUGAGAGACCACAGAGAAGACAGAGAAGGACCCUGUUGUUAUGGAGCUUACAGUCAGAGAGAGAAGUGUUGUCAUCAUCAUCUCAGACAGUCCUCAAAAGUCUUUCAAGGGCAGAUGCAGAAUUAUGUCUGGAUGACUACCUGAGUUUUUCUCCAGCUUUAGGUAUUUACAGUGAGUAUAACCUGCAUCAUAUGGGUAUACAGUGCUGAAGAAAUCAGAAGAACUAAUAAUAUAACUUAGCAGAGUGGAGGAAAGUUUUCUUCCUCCCAGACAGCUGGCUUAGUGGUAAGAUAAACUUCCCUGGCUGGACUCUGCUCCCCACAAGGCUGCUGUGGCUGAGAGAUACUGGGACAUCUGACAAGCGGGAACCCUGCCGUAAAAACCCGUGGAGCAUGGCUGAAUAUGCGCAAUAAAAAUGCCCGUGCUCCAAAAUGACCGCUAUACAACCUUCCGCGUGUGGCGCUGCAUGGGAAGGGAAAGAAGAAAAAUAGCUCUCAGGACGCAUGUGCGAUGGCUUCAGGAGCCCAGCGUGCAGGAAUGCAAGUCGAGGUAAACGGAUGAGGUAAUCAUCACGCCUGGACUUUAUUAUCAAUGAAUACUCUGCACCUAGUGAAAAAAACCUCAUACCUAUUGGAAGGUUCAGAUGAAAUAAAAAAGGAAAUCAGAAAAUCCCACAGGGUGCUCCUCACGCCUGAGGACACUCAUUCAUCUCCCGAGUUCGUAUUUUUGCUUCUUAAGAAAUCACUUCUUUGUUUCUCUUUGCGCUUCAGUUUCUGUGUAUUUUCCUUUGAGUUCUCUGUCCAGAAUUCUUUUUGGACAGGUAGAACAAGAACCUGUACCUUUAAUAAAGCCAUCGGGCAUCAGGAUGAAUAAAACAGACACUGAUGGGAUUGCCAUAAAGGUUUUAACAACUCAUGUGUAGACAAUCAAACUGCUGCUAUAGUCAAUCAGAAAGAUCACUACACAUGUUUAAACUGCAAAUCUGAAAAAAAAAAUCAGAUUCUUACUACCUGCCCCCACUCCAUCUUAAGAUGCUUUAAGUCGGACAUCUAGAAUUGUCAACUGUUUGUGCUUGCCUUCAGAAUUCAGAAACUGGGUCUAGCCUACUCCAAUCACUAACCAUUAUUUUUUUUCCUUCCAUAUAAAAUGUCUCUUAUUUAAUGUCCUAUUGUUGCACCACAGGCCUAACUUUGGGAAUUCGCCUAUAUCACUGCUUCCUGAAAUAAGAUGCAAUGGUUUAGGUGAGAUAACCUAUUCUUAGACUAAUGAGAUGGAGCAAUCUACCAACUCAGCUUCUGAACUGUGAUACUUCUUGGGCAAGUUCCAAAGCAAGGAAUCCUUGGAGUCCAGAACAGACCUCCCCAAGAUGUGCCACUUUAGCUUGUGGAUUAUUUUGAGCAGUAGAGACCCUGCAGGCUCAAUAGAAACUACUUCCCAUCCCUUAAGUACCUAAAAGGAUUUAAACUAUUUUUUGUUUUUUUCCCAGAAAAAAAAGCUAUUACCAGAAUUUUAUCCAAGCAUUACCAUCCAUAUGGAAGGAAACAUCUAAUUAACCAAUAUCUGCUCUUUUUAAAAAAUUGUUCUGUGAAUUUCCCUCCUGUGCUAUCCUUGAGAGCCUCAGGUCCCUAUCCCAUUUCUUUCUUUCUUUCUUUUUUUUUUUUAAAUCUUUUUAGGGCC
Phacochoerus africanus (Common warthog) is the source of this 1911-nucleotide long non-coding RNA. RefSeq lists it as uncharacterized. The record is from RefSeq and is a predicted model, not a curated record. The transcript is spliced from 7 exons. Lineage: Eukaryota; Metazoa; Chordata; Mammalia; Artiodactyla; Suidae.